UACGUAGGGGGCAAGCGUUGUCCGGAAUCAUUGGGCGUAAAGCGCGUGUAGGCGGCCAGAAAAGUCCGCUGUGAAAACUCGAGGCUCAACUUCGAGCUGUCGGUGGAAACUUUCUGGCUAGAGUCCGGAAGAGGAGAAUGGAAUUCCUGGUGUAGCGGUGAAAUGCGCAGAUAUCAGGAAGAACACCCGUGGCGAAGGCGGUUCUCUGGGACGGUACUGACGCUGAGACGCGAAAGUGUGGGGAUCAAACAGG
Molecule: ribosomal RNA, 253 nt
Filed under: uncultured bacterium
Lineage: Bacteria
Description: partial 16S ribosomal RNA
Rfam family: Bacterial small subunit ribosomal RNA
Source: RNAcentral